CAAUGCGACCCCAGGUCAGGCGGGGCUACCCGCUGAG
RNAcentral lists this ribosomal RNA (37 nucleotides) under Ficus tettensis. Its description in RNAcentral is "partial 28S ribosomal RNA". Lineage: Eukaryota; Viridiplantae; Streptophyta; Magnoliopsida; Rosales; Moraceae. The record is from RNAcentral.